GCAGGCCUAACACAUGCAAGUCGAGCGCUUACCUUCGGGUAGGAGCGGCGGACGGGUGAGUAACGCGUAGGAAUCUACCCAGUAGUGGGGGAUAGCCCGGGGAAACUCGGAUUAAUACCGCAUACGCCCUACGGGGGAAAGGCCGGGAUCUUCGGACCGGUCGCUAUUGGAUGAGCCUGCGUUGGAUUAGCUAGUUGGUAGGGUAAAGGCCUACCAAGGCGACGAUCCAUAGCUGGUCUGAGAGGAUGAUC
Molecule: ribosomal RNA, 251 nt
Filed under: uncultured bacterium
Lineage: Bacteria
Description: partial 16S ribosomal RNA
Rfam family: Bacterial small subunit ribosomal RNA
Source: RNAcentral